GUUAUGGAGAUGGAUACCACAUCUCAUCAUGUAAUUUACUGUAUCUUAGCAACAGCUACUGGUACAUUAAUUCGUUGUUAGUAAAGGGAUAUAGACAUACAAAAAUUGCAUGGAGAAAGUUGCACAAAAACACAGUCCUCUAUCAUUGAAGCUAACAGAGAGCUCACUUAACUGAGGGUAACACAUUCCUUAUACUCACUAUGAGCCAGUCACUAAGAACAUUCAUGUGUGCAUAAUGCCAAUUUAUUACAAAUGUUAGAGUUGGGUUUAGAAUGCAGGUGUUCCUGGCUUCCAAUCCUGUACUCAGCUCUACACAAAAUGUCUCAACAGUCAUAGCAAUCUGUGAAAUGUAUUUACACAGAGAUCCACUCCUAUUUCAGGAGACAGAGGAGCAGGCAUAUGUAGAUUUCCAGAGCAGUGCAAAUGUAGUAGCACUGAUGAUGAUGCAUCUAAACAAGACAUAAUCCCCACAUGUCAACAGACAGUCUCAGUAUAAAAGCCAAUUGGAAGAAACACACACAGACUUUAUUUGAAACCAGAUAUCAAUAUUCUGUUUCUAAGGUCUAGUUAAUCACAAAGAAUUUUAAAAUAUAGGAAUCAGCUGUAGAAAAAAGGUCUCUUUAAGCUACUAAGUAAUGGAUAAUGUUACAUUUUUAAAAGAUCUUUCUACCUUUUCUGCACCUGCUGAAGUUGCUGUAAAUACACUACUUACGUAACAGUCCUUAUACUUAGUCUACAGCCAGCUGGUAUAGCUGGGUCUUUGAUUUUUCUGUUUUUUUUUAUAUUUUGGAGGAAUUUAUGAGUAGCUUGAUGCAUUUGACAUCUAUGAGACAUCUUCUUGUAUAUGAGAAGAGCAGUGUGUUAUACCACCCAGCUGUGUGUAUUUGUCUAUACAUCAAGCUGAGGAGCAGCACUUAGCCAGAUCUGACAAUCAAGUGUGAGCUAGUACUACCCACACUCAAGAGUGCAUUGUAACGUUGUGUGCCAAGAGCUUGGUAUUUGACAAAAAAAAUUGUCAGAUGUGUUUCUCCUCCUCGGUCUGCUAGCCUUGAGUUUUGAUUUUUGUUUAGUUUAAUAUACUUUUAUUGUACAAACAAGAAAAGAGUUUUAAGUGUGUUUUAAAAUCAGCAAAGGUAGCCUACUGUUUUCAGUGUAAUAAAUAAUGUUAACAUAAAAGUCAUACAGUGUUUUUUGUAACAUAAAAGAAUGACUGUUUGGGAAUAUGCAGUACACUAACAUGUCUGCCAACUUAAUCUAAAGUUACAUUCUGCUUGGUUUCACCAGUGACUCAUAGUCAGUUUAUAAAGUGUCCCCAAAGAAAACUAUAGACUGAGAGAUCAGAGUACAUUUCUAGUUUGUAAAUGUCAAUGCUGUUCUUGUCAGUCUAGUUAGGACAGUGAAUGUCAGUCAGUGAGUGAUGAUGAUGUUCGUCUGUGCUACCUGCUCUUGGUUCAGACUGACUGACUGACCAACCUGAUAGCCAUAAUACUUCACUGUUCCCCUCCACAAGUGAAGCAUAAACUUUAUUUGCCUUAUGCUAUAACCUGAGGACAAUAAUAGUGAAAAUUUAUAUUUGUCUUUUAUACCCUAGCAUUGCAUUUGUGUUCUUAAUAGUUUAUCUUGUUUUGUCUCUGUUUUUGUUAUAAGAUCAGAGAUUGGUCUAUGUAAUAUUUUCAUUUUUCUCGGAUGCAAACACCAGGAUGGGGAGGAUCAGUUUAGGAUAGCACAUGGGACACAUUAACCAGGAGCAAUGGGAUGCUAUUAUAAAAAGGGAAAUUUAGUGACUAUCAAGUAAAUCUUCUUGACAAAGAAACCUUGUAGCCUGUGAAAUAUUCUAAGCAUGAAAUAGUAAAAGCCAGAUUAAGAACUGUAGGUGUGUAGGGAAUAAUCUUGCAGUGGCAGAGGUGAAUUAGAAAGUGUAACUACUAAUUUUGAUUUUUUUUAAAUUUGAUUUGAGCUUGUUGAUUUGUUUCAGUUUUAACAUUGUUAUAAAAUAUAUUACAUUUCUGAUUUCAUACACGUGCUUUUUUCUUGUACCACAUGAACAUUUUUAAUAUGCAAAAAAACUCGAAUAUUUCUCAUAGUUGUGUUUUCUAUGGUGGAAAAUAUUUAAAGAAGAAAUAUAUUAGGGAUUUGAAGCCCCUUGUAUUCAAGUAUUCAAAUGCUUCGGCUAACUUUUAGUCUCUUGUGGCAUCUCUAACUGCUGUGAAUAUCAUUAUCAUUUUUAUUAAUUAUUUGUUAAUGCCCAGUGAUAUGCUCAGAACUGCACAAGCGACAGUCAUUGAAAGGUAAAAGAGAGACACAGAUGAGAUGCACUAGGAGAGGCAAAGGCUAUAUUGACCAGGAAUGUUGAGCAGAAUCUUAUACUUUCUCAAUAUUCUCCUCUUAUAUCAGGUUCAGGCAGAGAUGGAAUUUGACUGAUGUGGCAGAAUGUGCAUGGGUCUGUCAUGGUGUAAAAAUUAUUGCUUCAAAAACUCUAUGGCUAGUGCCAAACUCUCUCUCUUUCAUGGUCUAUGGUAUUAACUCUAUAAUAAACACACACAGUGUCAGCUAUCUAUUUUAUUAAGACACACAUGAAGGAAAAUCAUGGGUUACAGACCUGCUUUUCUUUUUUGUUUUCUUAAAAGAUAGGACUAGUAAGUGGAUUACAACCAAAACAUUCUCAUUUUACUUAGAAAGCUGUUAGUUCUGUCAAAUUAAUUGUCCCAGCCACUCAGAAAAAAACAAGGAUAAAAGAAAAAACAUGAGCUGGAAAAGGAGGGGAGGCUCUUCUUUUUACAGUCAGGUUGUGGAUGACUGUUAGCUUCAGAUCGGAGUUGUUGUUAUUUCCUUGGGCAGGUAUAUUUCCUGGUCCACACUGAAGUCAGGUUGGAAGAUUGGAUUGGAGACAAG
Molecule: long non-coding RNA, 2892 nt
Organism: Dermochelys coriacea (leatherback sea turtle)
Lineage: Eukaryota; Metazoa; Chordata; Testudines; Dermochelyidae
Exons: 2
Source: RefSeq, a predicted model, not a curated record